CACUUCUCUCCCAGAGAAAAAAAACCGUCUUAUCUCGAUCCCUUUCUUCCUCGACAGUGGUGUAGAAGGAGAGGAGCACCGGCGUCCACACCGGGGAGGUCGAAGGGGAGGCGGUAGAUUGGAGGAGCCCAGCGAGCCGGUCGGCCGGGGCCAUACAGAAGCAACGCUGCCGUCUCCUUUCCCCCACUUUUUUAGGAGCUGGAUCUGAGGUGGCCAACCGCCGCUGUCGCCGCCGCCCCGUCGGGAAAAGGCCACCAUGUAGAUCACGCAGCAGGCCGGUCCACCCGCUAAAAUCUGUUGAUUUUGCCCUUCGUUGUAUCUUCUGCACCAUCUGCUUCUCUAUUCACCCGCCAAACAAAUGAGUAUGUGCCAUGCUUUGCAUGAAAUUCAUUGAACAGAUGUACCUCUUCUCCUGAAGCCGAUGCUGCCAUGCCUAUGAAUCGGAUAUGACCGAUGCUUUGUCAAGGGCUCAUAUGAGAGAAGAAAAGGAGGCUGGAGAUGCAGAGAAAGAAGCUCUAAGCUCGACAAAGGCAUCAGGAUGAAAACGUCGGCAUUGGAGUCGUGGCCGUGGCAGGGAAGGCGAACCCAGCGCAGCUCUGCCAGUGGCUCAAGAGGAAGAUAAGCAAGGAUGUCAAGAUUUUCCGCCAUUGUCCACACGGGCUGAGAAUUGUAAUAAGCAGGUAUGCAUCCCUCUUGUCUACUUGUACUGCAGAAUGAAGGAUGAUGUGUGUAAUAUCCAAAUGAAUGUACGUUAUUACGAAGGGCUAGCCGUGUGGGGUUAAGGUGCUUGCCGGCGGCGACCUGCGUGGCUCUCGGCCUGCAUCCUCGCUGAACUCAACACCAACUAUCGCGCGCCCGCGAUGUGACUGCUGUUGCAACAACGACGGCCAACGGCUACUGAACGACGAGGAUGCCCUUCGGGGUUAUAGCAUGCAAAGCAAAGCAGUUGCUCGAUCCUCACAGCCAAUAUAUCUCCGUGUAGAAGCAGAAGAAGCAGCAAUUGAUUCGUAAGUAGCAAUUUUAUCUGUUUCAUUCCUUUGUAUUUUUGCCCUCUGUUUCUGCUGAAUGUAUGUAUCACUUUUUUCAGAUAUAUUGAUCUUCACAUUCUUAGUUGGCAUCCAUAGUGGUUGUAGUUGUACACAUAGCCGUUCUCAGUUGGAUACGACAAUUAGAAAGUUACACAACACUAAACCUUUUUCCUACGGCGGUGAAAGUGGAACGGUAUACAUUGAACUGAAUACACAUGGCGUUCAUUUUUUUGGCAUUUAUAGUAAUUCUUGUUGCACACAUAGUUGUUUUCGUCGGAGACGAUCAUUACUAUAGUAGUUGUAGUUGCACAUACAGUUGUUCUCAGUUGGAUCCUAUUAUUGAAAAAUUGCACACAUGGCAAUCAUUUUUUGUUGGCAUCUAUAGUAGUUUUAGUUGCACACAUAGUUGUUUUCAGUUGGACACGAUUAUUGGGAAGUUACACACACGGUGAUCAUUUUUGUUAGCAUCUAUAGUAGUUCUAAUUGCACACAUAUUUGUUCUCAAUUGGAUACGAUCAUUGGAAAGUUGCACACACGGCGACCAUUUUUUGUUGGCAUCUAUAGUACUUCUAGAUAUUAUGCACAUAAUUGUUCUUAGUUAGAUACGGUCAUUCAGAAGUUACACACACGGUGAUCAUUUUUUGUUGGCAUCUACAGUAGUUCUAGUUAUACACAUAGUUGUUUUCAGUUGGACACGAUCAUUGGAAAGUUGCACACACGGCGAUCAUUUUUGGGUGGCAUCUAUAGUAGUUCUAGUUGCACAAAUAGUUGUUUUCAGUUGGAUACGGUCAUUGGGAAGUUGCACACACGGCAAUCAUUUUUUUGUUGGCAUCUAUAAUAGUUCUAGUUGCACACAUAGUUGUUUUCAGUUGGACACGGUCAUUAGAAGUAGUUGGCAGGGGCAAUAGAAGUAGUUGCACAGAAUCUGCUAGUCAAAACUUCACGGUGGCGAAAGAUUCCUCUUAGUAAAACUGCAGAGAAGAAAGGUGCGCGCGGAGGCAGUACCCAAAGGGGUAGAUGCCACAUCUUCUGCAGCAGCCGCUGUGGUAACAUAAAGUUCCAUCAGGAAUAUUUUUUACUCCACAUACAGGCAGCCAAGUGUAUGAAUUUUCAUACAUGAUUGCAGAAGGACUAAUUAAGCAUUGGCAUGCUCAACUUUCUCAGUUGCUCAACGUUGCCAUCUUCAAGUUUUUUAGAAUUGUCCCAAGAGUAUGUAACGACUUGGCAUCCUCAGGCUUUCUAGUUGCAGAAUAGUAUCUAAUUAGUUGGCAACCUCAGUAAUUCUAGUUGCACAACAAUAUAUAACUAGUUGACAUCCUCAUCUUUUCUAGUUGCACAAAAACUCAGAUUAGUCCCAUCUUAAAAAAAUUGAGGAUUUCCCUACAGUAUGUAACGACUUGGCACCCUCAGGCUUUCUAGUUGCAGAAGAGUAUCUAUUUAGUUGGCACCCUCGACAAUUCUAGUUGGACAACAUUAUCCAAGUAGUUGAAAUCCUCAGCCUCUCUAGUUGCAUAAGAAUUCAGAUUUAUCCCAUCUUAAAAUUUUUGAGGAUUGCCCAACGGUAUCUAAUCACUUGGCACCCUCAGGAUUUCUAGUUGCAGAAGAGUAUCUAUUUAGUUGGCACCCUCUACAAUUCUAGUUGGACAACAUUAUUCAAGUAGUUGUCAUCCUCAGCCUCUCUAGUUGCACAAGAAUAUCUCAUUAGUUGGCAUCAUCAGCAUUUCUAGUCGCACAAGAAUAUCUCAUUAGUUGUCAUCACCAGCAUUUCUAGUUGCAGAACAAACAGGAUAUCAAGUUGCCAUCCUCAACAUUUUAAUCUAGUUUUCCAGAGAACAAAUAUUUGUAUGUAAUGAUAACUAAUCACCUUUGCCUUUUUUUGCAAACCGCGAGAUAUUGUUCAAGGAAAUGAGAGUAAUGAAGCAGAUAAUGUUGAACGAUAGUCACAAGCUGGCUACCUGAUGGAGACUACUCUGGAUACCUGAUGUUUGAGUUGGAUAGAAUACCUGUUUUAGUUGGCUAUAAUACUCUGGAUACCUGAUGCAUUUUUUUCACCCCUGGAUAUGUUUGUUUGCAGACAUCCAUGUGAAAGUUGGUUUCAAACAAUGGUUUUCUUGCACAGGGAACUGAAUUUCUUAUGCUUUUACUUGAUCUUC
Molecule: RNA transcript, 3181 nt
Organism: Triticum dicoccoides
Lineage: Eukaryota; Viridiplantae; Streptophyta; Magnoliopsida; Poales; Poaceae
Exons: 2
Source: RefSeq, a predicted model, not a curated record